CAACCUGCUUUAAGAUCUGCCAACCUGCUCUAAGAUCUGCCAACCUGCUUUAAGAUCUGCCAACCUGCUUUAAGAUCUGCCAACCUGCUCUAAGAUCUGCCAACCUGCUCUAAGAUCUGCCAACCUGCUUUAAGAUCUGCCAACCUGCUUUAAGAUCUGCCAACCUGCUCUAAGAUCUGCCAACCUGCUUUAAGAUCUGCCAACCUGCUUUAAGAUCUGCCAACCUGCUUUAAGAUCUGCCAACCUGCUUUAAGAUCUGCCAACCUGCUCUAAGAUCUGCCAACCUGCUUUAAGAUCUGCCAACCUGCUUUAAGAUCUGCCAACCUGCUUUAAGAUCUGCCAACCUGCUCGUGGGUGACAGGUAACCGUGUUUCCACCAAGCUGUUCGUGGCCUGGAGUGGCACGCUGGAACUUCCAGAGGCUUGGAGACCUGAAGCGUGAUGUGGUCCAGCUCAACCACAGUCCUCACAGCUGCAUUCAUCAGCCCCUGCACCUGCUACACCGGCUGUGACAGAUCUGCCACCCCCAGCAGUUCAUCUGCAGUCACAGCAGUCCUCUGCUGUGGUAUUUAAUUUACCGGCUGCACCAGGUCCUACUACACGGGCCGUGAAGGGAGAAACUAUUGAGGAGACCCAGAUGGAUACAGAUCGGCCAUGCUCUCCACCACUGCCCGACAGCCUCACACAGAAGUGCAUACAUGGGGCCUAUCAAGACUGACAAAGCAGAGAUGGGUGGCUGACAAUGACACAUAAAACAUGCACACACACGCUCUCUCUCUGUGUCUGUCUCCCACACACACACACACACAUUAUCCCCAAUAUAAAUAAAUUGUAAUAACUUGUUUAUUUAAUGAAUCUUCCAUUUUAUUUUAGGAUUGGAGAUAUCUACUGUAUGAAUACAUUUCCAUUAUCAAUAUCUACAUGAUUACUCUAAAUAUCUACCAAAUCAAAGUGACAUUGAUAAUAUUGUAAAACAGUAUUGCUUAAUGUGUACAGUUAUUUUAUGUAUGCUACAUUUUAUUUGAGGAUUAUGUGCAAUAAAUUACAUUCACAGUUAGAGCAACAUUGGGGAGGAUUGGAUAUUUCUCCGAUUUUUUAAAUGAAUGAUCAAAAGGAAGUCGGGAGACCUCUGGGAGUGUGUGCAGAUUUUGUCAUCUGGCACUGAAACAGGGCCCCGACAGCCCUCACAUACCGUGCCUUCGGAAAUUAUUCAGACCCCUUGACUUUUCCCACAUUUUGUUAUGUUACAGCCUUAUUCUAAAAAUGGAUUUUUUUAAAUGUCAGCAAUGUCGUGGAAAUUUCCUGUAUUACCAACUCAUGAGAGAGCAAGCCACACACAAGUCAGUUAUCAUAAAGUCCAUCUUUAAUUAUAUGAGCUUCAACAUAGCCCUGUGACUCUCAGAACAAUUCAGUGUCCAUAAAUGAAUUCUCUGAGAGUGCUUACAAAUAGCCAAGACACACCCAUCAAAACUCACAUGACAAAUAACAGAUCUUAGGAACAUCAUACAAAGAACCUUUUACCAGAAAAAAAAGUAUCCUAUAGCCAGACAGCAUUAGCUAUAACAUUAUCCUUCAGUUUGCCCUCUUAGACAAAGUUCUUAGCUCAUUCAUGGUACCAUUUAGGACCAAAACAUUACCUCAUCCAAUGGCAUAUAUCAAUUGUCAAUUUCUACAACCCCUCCUGGACAAGCUUACAGAGAGAAGUGACUGGCACACAGACAUUGUGGAGCCACCUAACUGGUUCCCCAUUAAUCACACCAUCCCUUCACAUGGUUUAGGAAUAGUUUCCAGACACAUUCACAGAUAAGACUAACCCGACCUCUCCCCUCUCUGGGCCCAAGUAACUUUUUCCACAUAAGCAUACUUAUGAAAAUUAAUAAAACAUCUUAUUUAUCAAUGUUACCUAAAGGAUUCUGAUUCUGCUACCACAG
Oncorhynchus nerka (sockeye salmon) is the source of this 1930-nucleotide long non-coding RNA. RefSeq lists it as uncharacterized. Lineage: Eukaryota; Metazoa; Chordata; Actinopteri; Salmoniformes; Salmonidae. The record is from RefSeq and is a predicted model, not a curated record. The transcript has 4 exons.